RNAcentral lists this unclassified non-coding RNA (512 nucleotides) under Hevea brasiliensis (rubber tree). The record is from RNAcentral. Lineage: Eukaryota; Viridiplantae; Streptophyta; Magnoliopsida; Malpighiales; Euphorbiaceae.
CACGGAUUCCAUCACCUCCACCAAUGUCUUUGCUGCUGGAGUGCUGCACAUUUCAGCCCUCAAUCCUCUCCCAUCAAUAUCCUCCAUCCAAAUUAUUUUUCUAUUCACGUCGUCGUACUUCUCACGCUCCGCCAUUUUCCCGGCGCCGUUCGACAACCGUCAGGGCCGUACUCUCGACUGACAUGGACGCUGACGCUGAAGCUCAAGUGGCCUUGCUAAAGAAAGGCAUAGCUGAAUUUUAUGACGAGUCCUCUGGUGUAUGGGAAGAUAUAUGGGGAGACCACAUGCACCAUGGUUUCUACGACCCCAAUGUCCAAGUUUCCGGUUCUCUGUCCGAUCAUAGAGCUGCUCAGAUCCGAAUGAUCGAAGAAGCCCUCCGGUUCGGUGGCGUUCCCGGUUUGUUAUUAUUGUUGCGAUCUCUGUCUUUUUUUCUCCUCGUAUAUACGACUAUUAUACACUUAUGAUCAAUCACCAUAAUAACAAACCGGGGUAAAAAAAAAAAAAAAAAAAAA